RNAcentral lists this ribosomal RNA (484 nucleotides) under uncultured bacterium. RNAcentral describes it as "partial 16S ribosomal RNA". It matches the Rfam family "Bacterial small subunit ribosomal RNA", at positions 899 to 1397 of the family's 1533-position model. The record is from RNAcentral.
ACUCAAAUGAAUAGACGGGGACCCGCACAAGCAGCGGAGCGUGUGGUUUAAUUCGAUGCAACGCGAAGAACCUUACCAGGGUUUGACAUGUGAUCGCACCAUCCGUAAUGGGAUGUGCCCGCAAGGGACGAUCGCACAGGUGCUGCAUGGCUGUCGUCAGCUCGUGUCGUGAGAUGUUGGGUUCAGUCCCGCAACGAGCGCAACCCCUAUCGUUGGUUAUAGGUGUCCAGCGAGACUGCUCUUUUAAGAGAGAGGAAGGCGGGGAUGACGUCAAGUCAGCACGGCCCUUACACCCUGGGCGACACACACGCUACAAUGGCCGGUACAACGGGAUGCGAACCCGCGAGGGGGAGCCAAUCCUCACAAAACCGGUCUCAGUUCGGAUUGUAGGCUGCAACCCGCCUACAUGAAGUUGGAGUUGCUAGUAACCGUGGGUCAGCACACCACGGUGAAUACGUUCCCGGGUCUUGCACACACCGCCCGU